Triticum aestivum (bread wheat) is the source of this 1202-nucleotide long non-coding RNA. RefSeq lists it as uncharacterized. The transcript has 5 exons. NCBI's taxonomy places the organism in Eukaryota, Viridiplantae, Streptophyta, Magnoliopsida, Poales, Poaceae. The record is from RefSeq and is a predicted model, not a curated record.
AUUAUCGGGAUAUGGAGGUACGUGUGCUCCAUACCGUGGCUGAGCCUGUCGGAUCCGCAGAGUGGCUGCACGACACCUUAGGGACCCGAUGUGAAGUCGCAUAUGCUAUUCUACAGUGCUUGCCCUCUAAAAUCUGAAUUGUCGGUUGUACAUUUAGUGUUGAACUGCAGUAAUCUACUGCACUUGCAUCUGAAUUGUACAUUUAAUAAGUUAAUACUUGAGAGUUAAGAUAGAUCACUAAUCUGGCUGGGUCUCUAUCGUUGUGGCAAUUUGGCAAGCGUUUCUAGAGGUGAUAAAUCUGCAAGCAGAAAGUCAAUGUCCUUCUGCUAUGCCGCACAAUUACAGUGCUUUCACAUUAUGGAUAACUUUGUUUCCUAAAAGUAAAAUCUUUGUCAGUGCCAAAUCAGGGUGCAGGACAAGUCAGCCAUCCGUGCGAAGUCGGUGUCAGCAAGGGUGUGGGGCGUCCGGAGGAGCAUCCGGGUUGAAGGUUCUGGCCCUCACCAUCGAGACUACCAUGGUCGUCGCCAAGUACAUCUGGAAUGGUUCGGCUCCAGACGCCAUCCAUCAACUCCUGUUCUAAAGUGUGCUGGUGAAAUGCAAUCCGUUCUCUCUAUCUUUCCCGCUGAGAUGCAGAGGAGCUCGGUGUUUUAGGGUUUGGCUGUUGCUGCAGGAGAAGGUGGAGUUGCGACAGGAAGGAGGAAUGAAUUUCUAAUGGAUCUACUGUCUCCCUUGAGUUGGGGCGAACGUAGUGAAGCACCACGCUGUGUUUAUUGAUCUGGAAUCCAAGAGGAUCACCCGCCCUUGGUUGUUCCCUUCGUUUGUCAACUAGGUGACUUUUCAUGUGAUUUCUGCUUCCAAAAAUUAGAAAAUACCUUCAGAUCAAACCAGCAGAUUUGUAGAUUUCUGGGAAUUGCUGCUACUCCAUCUCCAUCUAGCCAAUGGUCUUUGGUUACUGAUUCUGAGUGAGCUCGAGAAAACACAACUACAAGCUUUCAGGUCCUAAAUGAGAAGGUAAGGAUGUACUUGAGCAGUAUGAGAAGACCCAGUUCCAUCAUCUCAGAAGCCAGAAGUUCCCCAUUUAAUAUCUUUCAUUCUGAAAUUUGUUUAAGAAGAUGGUCAUUCUUCUAUUAGCAGCACGAUUAUGUGUCAAUUGUAGAUUCUUAAUUGCUUAGAAUUAUUUUAUAUGUUUGAUUCCUUCGAUU